Molecule: long non-coding RNA, 396 nt
Organism: Gordionus sp. m RMFG-2023
Lineage: Eukaryota; Metazoa; Nematomorpha; Gordioida; Chordodea; Parachordodidae
Exons: 3
Source: RefSeq, a predicted model, not a curated record
UUAAAAUCAGCUGAUGAACUAUUUUUGAUGCUUUCAGUAGAAAUUUUCUUUCAAAUUUCAAUAUAAUGCAAGAUGCGUUUGAAGAUAAUGUGAGGAAAUUGCGCACAUUAAAACAAGUUAAUGGUAUAUUAAUAUGUACUACACAAGGUCAUUUAAUCAAAAGCACAUUUGAUAGGCCUGCAUCUUUAUCAUAUGGCAAAAAAAUCUACAAUAUAAUAAAUGAAACAAAUAAAAUAAUGAAUCAAGCUGAUGGCAUUUCUGAUUUUAAAUUUAAUCGAAUUUCAUCAAAUAAUACAGAAUUUUUGAUAAUGAAUGAUAAAGAAUAUAUAAUGGCAGUAAUUUAUGACAAAAAUAAGAAAUAAUUAUAGAAUAUAUAUAUAAAUGAUGCAUAUCCAC